This 181-nucleotide non-coding RNA is filed under the name bacterium. RNAcentral's name for it is "6S RNA". It matches the Rfam family "6S / SsrS RNA". From Rfam's summary of the family: E. coli 6S RNA was the first non coding RNA to be sequenced, but its function was unknown until recently. It consists of 184 nucleotides that fold into an extended hairpin structure with a large single-stranded internal bulge. The 6S RNA specifically associates with RNA polymerase holoenzyme containing the sigma70 specificity factor. The record is from RNAcentral.
CUUUUCCUGAAGUGUGCGACAACUCUUGAUAUUUUGAACCUACAUUUAUCGAUUGGGACUCCUACAUCUAUAGGGCGAUGUCAGGCCAUCAUUGCGUAGUGGAAGACAGAGAACUAUAUGCGGAAACCCACCUAGCUCAGGCUAGGCGUCAAAAUUCAAGAACCGGCAUUUUGGGGCUCAA